UGCAGGAGUAGACAAUUGUUUUCAUUAUUUAUAAUCUCAAAAUUUCUAUAUUAAUCUAGUAUAAAACGUUACAGAUUGUUAUUAUUUCAUUAAUUUAUAUACUCGAUGUUAUAAAAUGCAUACAAGUUAUCAUAAUGUUGACGUAUUCACCUUUAAGGUUAUGUUAUAGGUAGUGUUCUCUUGUUUUAGUUAAGUGCAAGUGAAGCUAGGAUUAGGAAUCCUAAUAAUAUAUGGAUAGAUCUAAAUAAAGGAAGGUCCUGUCUAGCAAAUGUGGCGUGGACAUCACAGACAGUUCAGAAGAGGAUGACCAAGUCAGUGUUGUGAUAUCCAAAUGAGGCACAGACUUCUGACGCCGAUGUCGAAAAUACGCAGGGAUAAAUUAUGGCGAUGGCGGUGCCAGUGGAGCGUGGUGACGAUGGUGGCGGUGGCGCUGGUGGUGUACAACGCCGCGGCCAACGUGUGGCUGCUGCGGCCGGCGCCCUGCCCCGUGCGCUCCUCGCCGCCGCCCUCCGAGCCGCCCUCGUGCGAGCCCUGCGCCGACGUCGCGCCCGCCCCCGACGACGACCCUAUAUCCCACCUCGACCUCCGCCUCGGCCGGUGGGACAGUUCACGAUCCUACAGGAUGUUCGACUACGCCACCGUCGGCGAGACUUACGCGGACUUGUCGUCCAGUCGACGCGUGUGUCUCGCCACGCAGAGCUCGAUAGAGCGCCUCCACGAGCUCCUGAGGAUAGCGUACCACUGGUCGGGACCGAUAUCGGUGGCGGUGUUCGUGGCCGGCGACGAGCUCCGCCUGCUGCGGGCCUUCACGACCUGGCUGUUUAGAUGUCAGCCGGACAUUUACUCGCGACUCGCUCUGCAUUUGGCCAUGCCAAAGGAGAGGCCGGGGGCUCACGGCGAGAUGCCUCUAUGGGUGAAAAAUUGUGAUCUGCCGCCUCUACCCGAGGGAGAAAGGCAAGCGGACACGGUGGCGUGGCGGGCGAGGCAUCCGUAUCCUCAGAAUCACCUGAGAAACUUAGCGCGAAGGAACUGUCAUACGCCUUACGUGUUUCUCGUAGACAUAGACAUCGUCCCCUCCCGAAGUAUGGCGGAGGAGUUGGAGCAGUUCCUAGCUCACGCACCUCGAUGCCAGUUAUGUGCGUACGUGGUGCCAACGUACGAGCUGGACCGCCGAGUGGCCGCCUUCCCCGGGAACAAGUCGGAGCUCCUGCGACUCUCGCGCAAGAAGCUAGCUAUCCCCUUCCACAGAAAAGUGUUUAUCUACAAUCAGUAUGCGUCUAAUUUUACAAGAUGGGAGUCAAGCGGGGGCAACGAGAGCUCGGAGACGCACAUCAGCCAUGACGUCACCAACUUUGAGUUAUUGUAUGAGCCGUUCUACGUGGCGAGUGAUGCCGUCCCCGCACACGACGAGCGAUUCCUCGGCUACGGCUUCACCAGGAACACGCAGAUCUUCAAGAAGCGGUGGAGGAGAAUGAAACUGAGCUACAGGAUGUGGACUUGGAGGCAGUAUGUCCGGAGCUCAGUGGACAAAUCAUCGGUGGCAGACCGAGUUCUGUCACCAGACACCCUUAUCAGGUGUCCAUGGUGAUCAACGGGAACUCAUUUUGUGGAGGCUUCAUCAUCAGUAGAGACUAUGUGAUGACCGCAGCGCAUUGUGUCCAAAACACCUCUCCACAAGCCAUCCGGCUCCGUGUGGGCAGUACUCGUCGCGACUCCGGAGGUCGUAUAGUCGCCGUCUCCAACGUCACAGUACAUCCGCUGUACGGCCAGCCCAUGUAUGACCACG
Molecule: RNA transcript, 1786 nt
Organism: Aricia agestis (brown argus)
Lineage: Eukaryota; Metazoa; Arthropoda; Insecta; Lepidoptera; Lycaenidae
Gene name: beta-1,4-glucuronyltransferase 1
Exons: 5
Source: RefSeq, a predicted model, not a curated record